GAUGAAGAACGUAGCGAAAUGCGAUAAGUAAUGCGAAUUGCAGAAUUCAGUGAGUCAUCGAAUCUUUGAACGCAUAUUGCGACCUUUGGUAUUCCGAAGGGCAUGCCUGUUCGAGCGUCAUUAUCACAGUAUCAAGCUUGGCUUGUUGUUGGGCCCUUUGUCACGGGGUGACAGGUCCAAAAGACAAUAACCGGUGUCAUACAGACUCUAUAUGCAACGAGCUUAUCACAGCACGCAUCUGGUAGUCGUGUGGCCUGGUUCUCACCCCUUUACUUCUCAAGGUUGACCUCGGAUCAGGUAGGAAUACCCGCUGAACUUAAGCAUAUCAAUAAGCGGAGGA
RNAcentral lists this unclassified non-coding RNA (340 nucleotides) under soil metagenome. RNAcentral describes it as "partial contains 5.8S ribosomal RNA, internal transcribed spacer 2, and large subunit ribosomal RNA". The stretch from base 1 to 120 matches the Rfam family "5.8S ribosomal RNA", at positions 35 to 154 of the family's 154-position model. The record is from RNAcentral.